GGCGGGGAGCGAGCACGCACAGCGUCCAACGCGCUCUCAGCGCAACGUCACCUGUGACUCGCUGCUCCGCGGUCCGGACACAGCACGUGAUCGACACACCGCCGCCAUCUUGGAGACGGAGACCGUUAGUGCUUGGAUAAGAUAUCUCACCUCCUCCGCAUACACAAAAGACCUUUCACGUUCGAUAGCCUCCUGUCCCGCAAGAUUGAGAAUAAUGUACGCUUGAGUGUGGGGUGGCUUAUCAGAGUGUGCGGCUGCAAUGAAAAUGUCAUAUUCUUGCUCAAAGAUGCGCAAUCUCUCGCCGAUGUUGCUGUCAAAGACGAGUGGAUCCUGUCUCCGGAAUGCAUCAGCCAUGUUCGAUUAGCAGACAAACUUUUCGAUCUCUCUAGUUGAGAAAUAGAGAGAGAAAAACUCAAAGCUCAAGCCGAUGAAGAACCGGAAUAAAACUUCUGACACCAUG
Amblyraja radiata (thorny skate) is the source of this 460-nucleotide long non-coding RNA. RefSeq lists it as uncharacterized. NCBI's taxonomy places the organism in Eukaryota, Metazoa, Chordata, Chondrichthyes, Rajiformes, Rajidae. The transcript is spliced from 2 exons. The record is from RefSeq and is a predicted model, not a curated record.